RNAcentral lists this ribosomal RNA (317 nucleotides) under Chlamydomonas euryale. RNAcentral describes it as "partial Bacterial large subunit ribosomal RNA". It matches the Rfam family "Bacterial large subunit ribosomal RNA", at positions 2480 to 2775 of the family's 2925-position model. Lineage: Eukaryota; Viridiplantae; Chlorophyta; Chlorophyceae; Chlamydomonadales; Chlamydomonadaceae. The record is from RNAcentral.
GGCUAGUACGCGCCAAGAGUUCAUAUCGACGCGCGUGUUCGGCACCUCGAUGUUGGAUCAUCGCGUCCUAAGGCUGCACAAGGUCUUAAGGGUUAGGCUGUUCGCCUAUUAAAGCGGUACGUGAUCUGAGUUCAGAACGUCGUGAGACAGUUCGGUUUCUAUCCGUGUUCCCUUUAAAAUCUUAAUUUUAUUAAGAAAUAGUUAAAUGUAUAUUGGGGUAUGAGUACGAAAGGACCAAUAUCCUCUAAACCUCUGGUGUACUUGUUGUCUAAAAGAGGCAUAGCAAGAAAGCUAAGUUUAUAAUAAAAAAUACAGAA